This 254-nucleotide ribosomal RNA is filed under the name uncultured bacterium. RNAcentral describes it as "partial 16S ribosomal RNA". It matches the Rfam family "Bacterial small subunit ribosomal RNA", at positions 524 to 776 of the family's 1533-position model. The record is from RNAcentral.
UACGUAGGGUGCGAGCGUUAAUCGGAAUUACUGGGCGUAAAGCGUGCGCGAGCGGUUCGCUAAGACAGAUGUGAAAUCCCCGGGCUUAACCUGGGAACUGCAUUUGUGACUGGCGGGCUAGAGUAUGGCAGAGGGGGGUAGAAUUCCACGUGUAGCAGUGAAAUGCGUAGAGAUGUGGAGGAAUACCGAUGGCGAAGGCAGCCCCCUGGGCCAAUACUGACGCUCAUGGCACGAAAGCGUGGGGAGCAAACAGG